ACCUGUGGAUAUAUAAGUUGGUGCGUAGUACUAAUGGGUAUGCAUUAAGUUGCUCACAGUGACCUGAAGUUUGGAGACUUGAAUUUCUUGGUGUUCAUACCCUUGUAUCUGAAAUUGAUUACUUGAUGCUUGAAGAAGCAAUUGUGAAACAAGGCAAUAGUACAUACUUGUCGCAAUAAUUGGACUGCUGGCUGCCUUAAAAUUUGAAUCUACUUGGACAUCACUCAUCGUUCUUCUCCAGGGCUACAUCAGACCUUUCAUCAAGGAAACAGCAUUGGACUGCUUUGAAAAUUGGACUUGAUUUCUGAUGGCUACUUUGGGAUGUUCUGUUUCCUAAAUUAUUGAGUUGUGUCUGUGCUUUAUGUUACAUAGGAUACACUAGGCUUUUGAUAA
Molecule: long non-coding RNA, 393 nt
Organism: Heteronotia binoei (common prickly gecko)
Lineage: Eukaryota; Metazoa; Chordata; Lepidosauria; Squamata; Gekkonidae
Exons: 2
Source: RefSeq, a predicted model, not a curated record